ACCACCCCAAUUUCUUUAAAAUGCAUGAACCUUCAUAGCCUGUGGAAUCAGUGCACAAUGCGCAGGAAACUCUGCUUGACCACAGUUGCCAGGAGCCCUAGACAAGCGGCAACAGUGAGAUCCCAGCCGGCCAAAAGAAACUGAGUUAAUAUGGGGUGCUAUCAUGCCAUUCUGGAAUGGUGCCAGACUGGAUCAACAGAUGGCUUCACGGAAAUAAACAAACAAGAGUCAACAGACGGCUGCUAGAAGAAUCCCAUUUGAUGCUGGAUAUUUAUUAGUCACAUGGCCAUUGAUCAGGAUGCGGUCAUCCACAGGCAGACGGAAGACCUUCUCAACCUGUGCCUCACACCUGACUGCCAUUGUCCUGUAUUACGGGUCCUUGACCUUUAUGUAUGUGCAGCCUGGAGGGCUGGAGGCAGUGGAGCAAGACAAAAUAGUGUCUGUCUUCUACACCAUUGUGAUCCCUAUGCUGAACCCCAUCAUCUACAGUCUGAGGAAUGAGGAGGUGAAAAAAGCUCUGAAGAAAAGACUAAGCAAGAAAAUCUCUUGCCAUCAGUCAAAGCAAUGAACUUUGUUGCCCACUCCUGUACAUUUGUCUGCUCUCACACAAACUAGUAAGGCCACUAUUAAAGCUGAGCCAAAAUUUUUCAGAAGACAUUUUUCUGGGAAAGAUUCUGAGGUUUUUCUUUUUCUCAUUCCCCCAGAAAAGGAAGGUAGCUUUGCAGAAUUUUAUCUGAAGAUGCUCCGCCAUUUAUUUCUGUUUUUGAUGGUGGCUGCCAUCUGUCCUCGCCACAUUGAAUGUCCUGGAAUGGUAGUAGGUUUGAGGCAUUGUAGAUGGGCCAUAAUGGGCUGCAAACACAACUGUUUGCACUGUGGCCACAAUAUUUUGUAAAAUAAAUAUGUAGGGAAAGAAGAAAUAAGCUGUGCUGCUGCUACCACUAAUGGUGGGCCCCACCUCUUGGAGAAUUGUUCCUCUCCUUGAACAAGUUCAGUGAAAUGGACCACCCCAAUUUUGCUGUGUACAAAUUGUAGAAUUCAAAUCUGACUGUUUCAAGCGUCAACAUCUUCAGGUUUUUUUUAUUUUGAGUUUGGUUUCAGAGUUUCAGGCUCCUUUGUAAAACCAAACAAAUCCAGUUCUAUACUUGAUGACAGUUAAGGGUGGGGGAAUGUGUACUCCCACCAGAUAUUAUUGAAUGGCAACUCCCAUUAUCACUGGUCAUGGGCCAUGCUGGCUGUGACUGAAGGGAGUUGGAAUCUAACUCCAUUUGAAGGGCCCCCGGGUCCCCAUCUCUGAUGUAACGCAUCAACUUGCCUAGUGUAAUAUUUCUAUACCUUUACAAAUCCUACAAAGUAUUUUGGAGGAAAUUAUUUAGCAAGAUAGAUUUAGUAUACAACUGAAUAUUAUCUGUAUUGUUCUAUCUGAUAUUAAAAUGAUUUAAGGAGCAAAAAGAAUGAACAAAUAAUAAAUGAUAAUGUUUGGAAGCAAACUUUGAGUUAGAAAUUAUUAGAGAAUCUUCCUACACCCCCAAAAUAAUUUCAACUCUAAUGGAAGUGUCUUGAGAUCAGAAUUGUUUGGCUAUUACAUGCUGCUUAGACUUCCUAGCAUCCUAGCAAGUGUUAGGAAGAACAUAGGAAACCAUAAUUUAGUACUGUCAACACAGAUUGGCAGGGUUUCAGUCAGGGGACACAUUAACACCUCAGUUAACGAAGCACAUUAUUUCUUUAACAGAAACUUUGGUACCAGAGGUAGGAGUAAAAAAGGGAUAGGUUCCUGCACCACAACAAAGAGCAGCUCAACAUAUUUCAGCAAACGUUUUCAAAACUAACAAUAUGCACGUUUGAAAUGAAACAACCAGUUGAGGUAAGCCUUGCAUUCAGGGCCAUUCCACAUGACUGUAAUAUCUGCAAUGUUAUAGCUUUCUGUCCUCAUUAAUUCAUCGUUGUCCAUAUGACGUUGCAAACUAGUGCAGAUUUUUGCUUCCACAAAUCCGCAUUAGAGAUACUACUGAAAAACCAAUACUGUAUGUUUUCCUGUACCAAUAAUCAAUUGCAUUAACAUCCGUGGGCUCAGAUAUAAUGCCACAGAAUUUCCUGCAAUACGCGGUCCAUGGGCAUCCCUCCGUCAUAUCCCUCCCACCCAAUAGCAUAUUCUUAAAUUUGUGCAUCCAUGGAAAUUCCAAAAUGCAUGUGAAAAGCCAAUAAAGCAAAAUAGAUGAGUAUAUCCUUUUUAAACAACAUGGAUAGUAAACAAAUAUAUAUAUAUGAACUGUUUACAGUCAUGACCUCUUCCAGGAUACUCCAUUCCAUUCUAAGUCCCCUGCUCCCACCCCAAGAACAGACACUUAGCAUUCUCUAGCUACUGACUAUGCUCAGUCUUCAUUGUGUUGCUUUGGUGUGCCCCCCCCCAUUUUUCCCUAAAGGAAAAGGUUGUUUGUUGUUGCUUGUGUUUUUGUACUACAAACCUUGGGUUUCCACGAAAAGCCUGCCGAUACCUCUCUGUUGUGCAUGGCUGGUGGUGCACAUUAGGUUACUAAUGGUUGAAGAGUUAGGACUGAC
Molecule: long non-coding RNA, 2556 nt
Organism: Rhineura floridana
Lineage: Eukaryota; Metazoa; Chordata; Lepidosauria; Squamata; Rhineuridae
Exons: 4
Source: RefSeq, a predicted model, not a curated record